CGCGUAGGCGGUACUUCAAGUCAGGCGUGAAAGCCCCGGGCUCAACCUGGGAACCGCGCUUGAGACUGGAGAACUAGAGUUCGGGAGAGGAUGGUGGAAUUCCCAGUGUAGAGGUGAAAUUCGUAGAUAUUGGGAAGAACACCGAUGGCGAAGGCAGCCAUCUGGACCGACACUGACGCUGAGGCGCGAAAGCGUGGGGAGCAAACAGGAUUAGAUACCCUGGUAGUCCACGCCGUAAACGAUGAGUGCUAGACGUUGGGGCCCUUAGGGCUUCGGUGUCGCAGCUAACGCAUUAAGCACUCCGCCUGGGGAGUACGGCCGCAAGGUUAAA
This 331-nucleotide ribosomal RNA is filed under the name uncultured Skermanella sp. Its description in RNAcentral is "bacterial SSU rRNA". It matches the Rfam family "Bacterial small subunit ribosomal RNA", at positions 568 to 898 of the family's 1533-position model. The record is from RNAcentral. Lineage: Bacteria; Pseudomonadati; Pseudomonadota; Alphaproteobacteria; Rhodospirillales; Azospirillaceae.